RNAcentral lists this long non-coding RNA (559 nucleotides) under Takifugu rubripes (torafugu). RNAcentral's name for it is "lncRNA (ENSTRUG00000032901.1)". Lineage: Eukaryota; Metazoa; Chordata; Actinopteri; Tetraodontiformes; Tetraodontidae. The record is from RNAcentral.
UGCCUCCAUCUUUUUUUUUUCUUUUUUUUUUCAGUUUUUUGGAAGCCGGCCUAAAAAUGUGCCUGUCGCAGAUGUUUGGACAGAAGGUGUUUGCAUGCUGUUCAUUUAUACGCUGCCAUACGGGACACAGUAUGACCACCACAAUAACCAAAAAACACUGGGAAAAGAUUCGAUUUGGUGCCACAGAGGGAACCUUCUGAAUCUACAACAGCCGGAGGAACUUUAAACAACAUUCUCAAACAACCCCUGGGAGGUCCCUCACAUAAUCACCAAAAGAACAUUUCGAAUAUAUUUAUUAGGAAUGGAUCCAUAAACGUGUUGCUACAGGAUUCAAAGAGCUGCUAUGGAGAAAGCGGCUCUGUAGACUUGCUGCUCACGACCGGUCCAGCCUUAAAAGGGAACAGGUUCAGAUGUUCUUUUGGAGACGACUGCAUGCAGCGCUGAGAGGCACCCCAGCCCUCCACCCCGCACCCCGACGCACCAAUCAGCUGUCUCUGAGCACCUUCAUUAGGUAAUUGCGCUGUACGUUAUAGAUCAUAAUUGUCUAAUCUUUGUUUGC